AUGGAAACAAGACAUGUUCCUGAAGAAAUGUUUUAUUCAACAAAACUUGCCCAACUUGAGCAUUUUCCAGGGUUAAAGAGAAAAGAGAUUCUGAAAAUUAUGCAAAUUGAGGGGUACUUCAGAUCUGGAAAAUAUAACCUGACUUUGAACUCCGGAGAAGCACAACAGAGCCACUACAUCUGGUUUCAGGACUAUGUUUUCAAAUUUAGACUGCUUUUCUUCACAAAUGUUAUGAGACAAGCUGGUCUGUUGAGGAAAAACAAAGGGAACAAAAAGUCUUUCCUCUGCUCUUUACCUCCUCGACAUAAUGGCAGUACCAGGUCAAUUUCUGGUUUACUUCAGAGGUAUUCAUAAUUUCAGGCUGGGAGCAGGAGCUCAGCAGCCCCGGAGAGGCUGAGCUGUCCUGAUUGUGAGCUGCACGUAAUCUUUGGUGUGCAACUGUGGGAGUGCUUCCAGACUGCUCUGGAAUCUCUCCUCUUAUGGACCACCCAGUAACAUCUUGCUUCUUGCUCAGCUGUGUGCAGAGACUGGUAGGCAUCCACACCUUCUAAAAAAAAGGUAAAAAACCCAUGAGGGUAACAUGAGAAAAACAGGUAGUCAAAGAGAAGAGGGGAAAAUAAGGUGAUUUUCUUUCCCUGGUGAGUUAUGUCUCAGAAAGAUAUUUAGGUGAUCAGUAAAAAAAGAAAAAGAGAAUUUAGUCAAAUUCCAUUACUCUUGAAGUUGAUCAAAUUUAUGUAGAAAAUAAUUAAUGAUGAGAGCUGCAUUAUAUCUUAAGACAACCAGUUAGCUACUUCUCUUGAAAAACCAUAUUUUGUUACAAGUAAUUCUAAAAUAUGCAUCUGGUAGUAUGUUAAAUUUGGGGUUUUUUUCACUUAUUUAUUGUGAAAUAAGAGAAAAAAAUAAAAUAACAAAAACCCCCCCA
This 922-nucleotide long non-coding RNA is filed under the name Zonotrichia albicollis (white-throated sparrow). RNAcentral's name for it is "lncRNA (ENSZALG00000015356.1)". Lineage: Eukaryota; Metazoa; Chordata; Aves; Passeriformes; Passerellidae. The record is from RNAcentral.